RNAcentral lists this ribosomal RNA (486 nucleotides) under uncultured bacterium. Its description in RNAcentral is "partial 16S ribosomal RNA". It matches the Rfam family "Bacterial small subunit ribosomal RNA", at positions 30 to 507 of the family's 1533-position model. The record is from RNAcentral.
AUUGAACGCUGGCGGCAUGCCUUACACAUGCAAGUCGAACGGCAGCACGGGUGCUUGCACCUGGUGGCGAGUGGCGAACGGGUGAGUAAUACAUCGGAACAUGUCCUGUAGUGGGGGAUAGCCCGGCGAAAGCCGGAUUAAUACCGCAUACGAUCUACGGAUGACAGCGGGGGACCUUCGGGCCUCGCGCUAUAGGGUUGGCCGAUGGCUGAUUAGCUAGUUGGUGGGGUAAAGGCCUACCAAGGCGACGAUCAGUAGCUGGUCUGAGAGGACGACCAGCAACACUGGGACUGAGACACGGCCCAGACUCCUACGGGAGGCAGCAGUGGGGAAUUUUGGACAAUGGGCGAAAGCCUGAUCCAGCAAUGCCGCGUGUGUGAAGAAGGCCUUCGGGUUGUAAAGCACUUUUGUCCGGAAAGAAAUCCUUGGCCCUAAUACGGUCGGGGGAUGACGGUACCGGAAGAAUAAGCACCGGCUAACUACGUG